This 2984-nucleotide unclassified non-coding RNA is filed under the name Hevea brasiliensis (rubber tree). The record is from RNAcentral. Lineage: Eukaryota; Viridiplantae; Streptophyta; Magnoliopsida; Malpighiales; Euphorbiaceae.
GGGUAGCUAAGUAUAGCAUCCAAGUCAUCCAACAAUUAGAGUCACAAAAUGGAGAAUCACUGUCCACCGACAUAGUUCAUAUUCAGCUUUUUUCCAGUGGUAGCAGAACAACUAUUUGAAUUGUAACAAGAAAAACCUAUCUUUAAUUUAUUGCAAGUCAUCAAGGUCUGUACAAAUACGAUAGGAGUUUAUGAAAACUCACUAUAUAUUGGUUAAAGACAUACUGCAUAAGAACAUAUGAAAUAAAUAACACACCCUAAUAAGAACGGAAAUUAAGUCAGCAUUGAAUCAGCAGUCAAUUUGGUCUCCACCUGAAUCAACAAACGGAAAACUGGAGCAAUCCAGUAACCUUCAGCUUAAUCCCAUUUCCUUCCUAGAUAGAAGACAUCAGAUGCUUGACUUUCAUCCAUCAUGAGAUGAAUCUCAAAUUUGUCUCAGAACUUUCAGGUAUUUGCAGAUAAACUGAUCAGAACUCAUAAAGAUAGCAGAAGAUUUCUGUUCAUAUUUCUUUGACAACAGGACUGGCAUUAUUUCCAACACUUUCUUCUAUCACCCAAGAGCAGUCCAAGAUCAUUCAGAGAUUCAGUGCUAGACAUCAAAAUACCAGGCCAUGACUAGAUUUAACAGUGUGGCCAUAAAGCAGAAAAAUUAAUCAUCAAUUUUCAAGGACAACUCUUCAAGUUUAUUUUGAGUUUGCACCUGUCCCAUUCAUAAACUUAGCAUUAAGAAUGCCGUUAUAUAUAAAACAUAAGCAGGAAUGUUUGAAAAUAUGACAAGAACGUCGAUACAACACUAUUUGAUGGACCGACUGAUAUGCUAAUGCACAAUCAUAAUCAAGCCAAAAAUUUGUGGGUCUGCACAUCACUAAACUAACGGCAACACUACAAAGCACAUACUGGUACAAACCAAUGGGAAAUCUAGUGUACUCAAAUUGCAACUGAAAAUAAAAUUAAAUACUCAGUAUAAGCAUGUAAAAUUAAGAUAACCAUGACCCAGGAACAUCUGCACUCUUAUCAUCCAACUAAAGCAUUUUAAGUUCUGGAUUUUGGUGACAGAAGUUUUAACUUUGCCAUGGAAAAUCUAAUAAACCAAGCAUGAGGCAAUAUUUAACAGAGUCAGGGAAUCAAUGGUAAAUUGAAUAAAGUAAAAGUAGAAAAUGACAAAGGAAACUUGACAAUUAGUGCUUAAGUGUUGACUUGAAAUUUUGACUAUUCUCUACAUAAAGACAGAGGCUUGAUUGUGAAAUCAUAUGGAUAACCCAAGCAGUCUGAACAAAAAUGAUGCAUAUGAUUCUGAUGGAUACUUGGAUUAGGGUUUUGUUGAGGAAACCAAAAUUGGACACACAGUAGGGUGAAUUUUGGGAGCCUCCUGAUCCAACCAUGGGAAGUAGAUCCAUGAAGGCUAAAGGUUACAAGAAAUGAUUGGUGGUGGGGUCACCGUUCUUAAUAAAAAAAUAUAGCUACUUCACCAGCUUUCCCUUCAGAGGAUUCAUGCCCCAAGAAUGACCUAUCUUGAUGGUUUGCCUCAAAUGGGUUUGAUAUGAAUUAUGCAGAUUAGGGAAAGCUGAAGAAAGAUGGGCCUGGACCUGGUAGAAUGCAGAGGAAGAAAUGAAGAAAGAGAGAGACCUAGCAGGCGCUUCUAAUAGCAAGGAGGAAGGUCCUAGAAGGAGGGAUGAGUUGGAGCUAGCUAGCCGGUAACUGAAUGCCCAAAGAAAUAGCAUGUGCAGGAAAGAAAAUUAUAUAUGGUAAUAAACAAUAGAAUAGGAGCAUGCUUGAGUGAUCUCUUAUUGUAACGGCAUACUUGCUGGGCCAGAACAGCUCUGUUUAGCAAUUCCCUUUACAUUUUCUCUCUUUAAUUUCUCUUUUCAAACCCCCAACUCUAUCAAAUUGGUCUGACUUGCCGGAUCAAAAAUCAGAAUGGAAAACAGAGUGGAGAGGAUAAGAGGAGAAUUGCAAACUUAGAAGAGCCGUUGGAGACCAUGCGACAAGAACAGAAUCAACGAUUUAACAAGUUAGAAGCAAUAGCCAUCUCAUUCAAGGAAACCAGAAACAAAAAAAAAAUUAGAAAAGUUAGAUACAAUUGAAAGUAUGUUAAUCACUUUGGUGAAAGGAAGAAGGUUGAGAGUAAUAACCAGGGACAUACCAUGACUCCAACGCGGGCAUUUCAGAGGACCCAUCGAAUCAGAGGCACCCAACUCUUCCAGUAAUUGCCGAAGAGCCCCAGCUAACACCCAAAAAAAUUGAAUUACCCAGCUUCAAUGAUGAAGGCAUUGAUGAUUGCCCAGCCCUUGACAAUCAACGCUUUGUUGCACAUUGCACAACAGUGGCCAAGGAAGUUCCAUCGGCCUUAGCUUGCAUGGAGGGAGCCUCUCUUCAUUGGGUUCACAAGGUUCAACAACAAAAUUCUCAACUCAUUUGGGAAUAGUUCAUGUUAGAGACCCAUGGUCUAUGUCAAAGGAAAGAGGUGGAAGCAAGAAUAGAGAGAGAGUUUCAGACCAAAAUCAGGGCCAGAGAACUUUCACGUUGUUUCUCUGUUAACACAAUGGGGAAGAAGAUAAAAUGGGGUGCUAGGCUUGGACUGAACAUAGCAUUAGGAUAAGCAGGUCCAACUCCACCAACGGGCCCAAUUCUUGGACCUGGCCCAUUUGAACAACCGAAAUUACUGUACCACCAGAUCAGAUCACCUAAGCAAAAUAUCAGUCCGAAUCAGUUUAAAAGCCCGCCCCCCAAGCUUCCAGAUGAAGACUGGACAAGGUUUAAAGUCCAACUCAGCCUAAAUGGAACUACCCUGCCUCCUCCAUCAACAGCAGAACAAAAUAUAUAUUCUAGGCAUCACAUGUUUCUUCAUUUCAAUAGGAGAAGAGCACUGCAAUUCAUUAUCAUUUCUGCUAUAGGAAGGGAGGUAAUGGAGCUUGGAGUCAUUCAGAUAAUAUAUGCUUCCAACAGUGAAAUGGUUGCAAGUACUUUUGUUUACAUAAUCAUGAC